Molecule: ribosomal RNA, 131 nt
Filed under: uncultured Enterobacteriaceae bacterium
Lineage: Bacteria; Pseudomonadati; Pseudomonadota; Gammaproteobacteria; Enterobacterales; Enterobacteriaceae
Description: partial 16S ribosomal RNA
Rfam family: Bacterial small subunit ribosomal RNA
Source: RNAcentral
UGAUGAAGAAGGCCUUCGGGUUGGAAAGACUUUCAGCGGGGAGGAAGGCGAUAAGGUUAAUAACCUUGUCGAUUGACGUUACCCGCAGAAGAAGCACCGGCUAACUCCGUGCCAGCAGCCGCGAUAAUAGA